UCUUAACCACCUGGUGCUGCGCUGAAAAGUUUCCUGAACUGGGUUUUGUGAGGAGCUAGGAGGAAUGACACUGCUGCUGGAGGGAAGCAACCCUCGCUAGGUCAUGUACCGCCGGAGCAAAGCCACCCAGGCAGCCUGCCUUACUCUCACAGAGCAGCUCUCAGGCCCCUGCAUUGCCCUCGUUCUUUCCUUCACUGUUAGGAAGUUCAAACUCAUGCCAGAGUUUCUUUGCACAGGGGAUUAAGACUGUUUCCUCACCCCUGCCUACACCUGUGAACAGCUCACACCUGAUUCCAGCUGGGGACUGAGGGAUUUUGAGGAACCCAGUCCAGAGCAGUGAGGGUCUCAGAGAAAUAAAUGCCUAAUUUUAAAAUCUCUCCUUAUCUUCUUGAGCACGUGGAAGGUAAAUGGAAGAUGAAGGAUAAAGCUAUGAGUGUGUGUUAUAAAGAAGUGGUAUACAGCAGUAAUAUGAACUCAAGGCCUCUCUGGAGUUUAGAUAAUACCUUUAUACGUGUGUUACCUUGAAUCACAGGAAUUGGCGGUGAGAUUGUCAGGAAAUCUUAUGAAAGGCCAGAGGCUAAGGUCUAAAGGCCCUGGGAGGUGCGAAACAGGAGCCUUACUUUUCUUGUCAUUAAUAGGUCAUGCUCUUAAUGUCUGUGUGGUAGAGGGAGGAUAAUACUACCAAGUUAGAGGAAAAGAGGAAAACAAGUAUGUAGUGGUUACCUAUGGUCAAGCAGAUUUGCUUCCUUUAGCAGUGGAAAAAUCCCAAUUCAUUUCUUCUGUAUCUUCUCACCUGACUGUUCCUGAUGGUUUCACCUACCAGUAUGCCUAACACUAAGUAGGCUUUGUAGUAGUUAUGAGCUGUAGUCAUACUUCAUUAAACAGAAAGCUAUGUGUAUUUAAGUUAUUUGUACUGUUGCUUUAUAGAAUCUAAGGCAGACUAAAUGAGUUGGAUGAUAAUCCUGCUCUCCAUAGGUCAGAUCAAUCCCCAUUAACAGGAACAAUUAGUGCCUACACAUAGAAACUUGAGUAAGUCACCAGGUGAGUGCCUUCAGACUGGUAGUAACUAAUUGCCAACAGCAGCGGAUUUAGGAUGCUUAUUCUGCAGGUCAGCUGUGUAUCUCCCUGUAGGCAGAGUUGCCUGCACAUGUCAUUUGGAAGUAGUUUAUAAGCCACCAGUGCUACAUAAGCCACACUUAAGGAGGCUUUGUUUUAGUAAAUGCAUUUUGUCUGUACUACAAAUACAGCUGUCAGCAUUUGGGGGCUGUAAGUAAAAACAACCAGUGUAUGUGUACCAUGCAGUUUUUAAUUUGAAAGGGAAAUAUCUUUUUUUUAUUUUCUGAUAUAAUGACUGGUGCAGAAUUAUAUGGUUGUUAAAUAAUUUCUGAAAGCUAGAAGUCUAUACCCUGUAUGAAUUACCUACUCUGCCACACCAGUCUGCACAACAUGAGAAAAUUCAAGUUCAGAGGUAUUCCUCAGAAGACCUAGAGUUUUCAAUUAGUUUCCUGUUUCAGUAUUCCCAUGAGCCAACUAAGAUCUCAGUCUGGUCCUGCUGCUUUGGUAGGUUUUGAUCUUUCACUGUCUCAUGUGUGUACACACACACUUAAAUGGAGGAAAAGUCCCAAUGGGAUGUUUAUGCGCAAAAUGUUGUGUAAACCCAAACCCAGAACAGAUCUCUGUCUGACUUGUAAUAUACCACAGACAUGCUAAUAUGCUUAAAGGACUGACACUGCAGAAGUUGGAGGCCUUAAGUAACUAACAGAUGGGAAGGUUCCAUCCAUCUGUGAUUGAGCUUUAUUAUAGAUGCAUCAUAGAAAUAAGGAUUAGAAGAGGCUUCAAGAAAUCCUGUACCAAACCACUACGUUCAGCGAGGCUCUUUCGGAUAACUGGAGCGUUAUAAUUGUCAGCACCCCACACGGGCAUGCUGUGUGCUACAGGAAGAUGCUUUCAGCUGCUGCUAUGGCACUGAUGGAAGCUACUGGGCUCCCAAGGCUGAUCCCAGUACCGACACCUCCCUACUGAAAUGAGGCUGAAUCCUCAUCUUCACAUCUUCAUCCACAGCUCCCGUGGGGAGAGGGAAAGGAAAUCUGCAUUGAUUUUAACAGCUGGCUUUGAACAGAGGAGAGGGUUAUAAAUAAAUGUAAAUGAAGAAUGAGGGCAUGCGACUAGAGCCAGGAAGGUCGCGUUUCGGUGUGCCAACAGAUGAGCAAUGCUGAGUGGCAUUUGAGAAAAUGUCACUCUGAAUGUGUAGACACGAUGAUGAUGUCAAAAGCAGCUCCUUUGAAUUGGGAUUCGGGAGGAUCCUCUAUUUAAAUCCUGUCUGAGCUACUGACAGGCUGCGUGACCUUCCAGAGCUCCGUGGGUCAAAUGGGUCCUCGCUGCAACUAAAUAGACUACAAAGGAUUUAUUCUGGGACUGAACUUGAUUUCUCAGACAUCAGUCAACACAGCUGGUUCACUGGGUGGCAGAAAGAAAAAACCCAUAGAUGUCACUGGAAAACACGCAUCUGAAUGGAACCUUUUAGUGCUUGCAAAACUAGAACAGAACCACACAAUUGUUUCCUAAAAUGCAUAAAUAAUUGUUGAUGGUGCUUUAUUGGCAAUAAACUCUGUGAAGGUAACUUAAGGCUUUUUUCCCAAGGUAAUUAGUAGUGUCAUUUUCUUUUCCAAAAGGGUUGUGAUUAUUCUGUAUGUUGCUUAUAACUUUAAAGAUGAUUGAUGCUUCUUUACAUAUUCUGGCAUAAUUUUUUUUCUUAAAAAAAAAUCACAAUUGACUCAGGAAUACAGCACAGGGCUGCACAAAGGUAAGCUCCUUCCAUUGAAAAUACUUUUGGAAUCAGAUUAAAAAAUAAUGGUGGUAAUUAAUGAAAGAAUUUUUAUUAAAAAUAGUUAAACCACAUAAGCAGAGGAUAAAACUAUCUGUAAAAUGGAAGCAAAGAUUGCUUCUAAAUUGGAAGCUUUCUGCUUCUUCACAUGGAAGCUUUUAGAAACCACAAAUUUAUGGAUUUGGGGGUAGAAAUAUCAAGUGAUUUGCUUCUUUGUGGAAAAUGGAGUGAGGGAGUGGUGUUCUCUUACUGAUGUUUAACUCCACUAUUUAUGUUUAAUCAUAAAAGUAGUGGAAAUUUCAAGUGCUAUUCCCCCUAGUUUCACCAAGCUGGGUUCUGGUCGUGUUUUCAAGGCUUGCUGAAAGGAAACUAAAUGCUAAUGUCAGAGCACCUGUGUCACUGGGAGAACUUGGGGAGUUUAGAGUGUGUAAACUGACAGAGACAAUAGUGGUUUACAGGGCAACAGUAAGAGAUGUUUCCAACAAAGGAAAAAAAUACAUAAAGGGUUCUUGUCCCUGCCAUUCCUGUCAUCUAAGCAAAAUGAGUAGUUAUAAACAAAGUUUUUGUUUGUUUGUUUGUUUAAUCCCAACUGCUCCUGUGAUUUAAGUUAGGUAUUUACAAAACAUAAAAUCAAAUGACCUCAAUAAAUAUAACUUUCCAGCUCCA
Molecule: long non-coding RNA, 3490 nt
Organism: Anas platyrhynchos (mallard)
Lineage: Eukaryota; Metazoa; Chordata; Aves; Anseriformes; Anatidae
Source: RefSeq, a predicted model, not a curated record